RNAcentral lists this transfer RNA (69 nucleotides) under Urva javanica (small Asian mongoose). RNAcentral's name for it is "tRNA-Arg". It matches the Rfam family "tRNA". Rfam says of the family: Transfer RNA (tRNA) molecules are approximately 80 nucleotides in length. The record is from RNAcentral. RNAcentral also lists the same sequence under 1 other name. Lineage: Eukaryota; Metazoa; Chordata; Mammalia; Carnivora; Herpestidae.
UGAUAAUUAGUUUAAACCAAAAUAAAUGAUUUCGACUCAUUAGACUGUAGCUAAUACUACAAUUAUCAA